RNAcentral lists this non-coding RNA (30 nucleotides) under Rattus norvegicus (Norway rat). Lineage: Eukaryota; Metazoa; Chordata; Mammalia; Rodentia; Muridae. The record is from RNAcentral.
UUUGAAUGUUCCUGAACUUUUUUUAGUUGU